GACGAACGCUGGCGGCGUGCUUAACACAUGCAAGUCGAACGGAAAGGCCCUGCUUGCGGGGUACUCGAGUGGAGAACGGGUGAGUAACACGUGGGUGCUCUGCCCUGCACUUCGGGAUAAGCCUGGGAAACUGGGUCUUAUACCGGAUAGAUGCCAUUUUUAGUGUGAGGGUUGGAAAGUUUUUUCGGUGUUGGAUGAGCUCGCGGCCUAUCAGCUUGUUGGUGGGGUAAUGGCCUACCAAGGCGGCGACGGGUAGCCGGCCUGAGAGGGUGGACGGCCACAAUGGGGCCGGGGAACGGCCCAGGAUCCUACGGGGGGCAACAGGGGGGAAUUAUGCAAAAUGGGGGCGAGGCUGGUGCAGCGACGCCGCGUGGGGGAUGACGGGCUUUGGGUUGUAAACCCGCUUCGAGAGGGGCGAAGCUUUUUGUGACGGUACCUAGAGAAGAAGCAACGGCUAACUACGUG
Molecule: ribosomal RNA, 465 nt
Filed under: uncultured bacterium
Lineage: Bacteria
Description: partial 16S ribosomal RNA
Rfam family: Bacterial small subunit ribosomal RNA
Source: RNAcentral